AGAGGUCCUCUGCGGCCAGGGUUGAAUGCUUGCCUCAUCGCGGCGGCGAUGAAGCAAGCAUUCCGCCAGGCCGCUCACACUGCCUGC
Non-coding RNA from Myotis brandtii (Brandt's bat), 87 nucleotides. The record is from Rfam. Lineage: Eukaryota; Metazoa; Chordata; Mammalia; Chiroptera; Vespertilionidae.